This 567-nucleotide ribosomal RNA is filed under the name uncultured Arcobacter sp. RNAcentral describes it as "bacterial SSU rRNA". It matches the Rfam family "Bacterial small subunit ribosomal RNA", at positions 69 to 653 of the family's 1533-position model. The record is from RNAcentral. Lineage: Bacteria; Pseudomonadati; Campylobacterota; Epsilonproteobacteria; Campylobacterales; Arcobacteraceae.
AGAUUAGCUUGCUUUAGUUGUCAGCUAAGUGGCGCACGGGUGAGUAAUGUAUAGAUAACCUGCCCUUAAGAAAGGAAUAACAGUUGGAAACGACUGCUAAUGCCCUAUAUGCCUUUAAUACAUAAGUAUGCAAGGGAAACGCUUUAGUGCUUAAGGAUGGGUCUGUAUGGUAUCAGCUUGUUGGUGAGGUAAUGGCUCACCAAGGCUAUGACGCCUAACUGGUUUGAGAGGAUGAUCAGUCACACUGGAACUGAGACACGGUCCAGACUCCUACGGGAGGCAGCAGUGGGGAAUAUUGCACAAUGGACGAAAGUCUGAUGCAGCAACGCCGCGUGGAGGAUGACACAUUUCGGUGCGUAAACUCCUUUUAUAUAGGAAGAUAAUGACGGUACUAUAUGAAUAAGCACCGGCUAACUCCGUGCCAGCAGCCGCGGUAAUACGGAGGGUGCAAGCGUUACUCGGAAUCACUGGGCGUAAAGAGCGUGUAGGCGGGUAUAUAAGUCAGAAGUGAAAUCCUAUAGCUUAACUAUAGAACUGCUUUUGAAACUGUAUACCUAGAAUGUGGGA